GAGGGAGAGAGGCGCCGACGAAGAGAGGAAAGCAGAGUAAAAUGAAAAAAGGAAUUAGGGAUUAGGGUUACUUCACUUAGUUUUGUUAAUAUAGCUAAUCGGGUUCGGGUAACGGGUAUCCGAGCACCUAUUCCCGAACCCUACCCGAAUCCGAGACGGGUAGCAUUUUUCAAAUCCGAACCCGCCCAAAUCCGUUUUGUAAAAACCCAAAUCCGUCCUAAUAGGGUUUGGGCGGAUCGGAUACCCGCGAAAACCCGCCCGACUGACAUCCCUAUAGAGGACGUUCCCUAAUUGAUUUAAUCAUAAGGAGAGACAUGGUGGUGAUAAGCAUUUUCCAUCUCCAUAACUAAUCUAUUGAAUCAAUCAAGAGAACAUAGGUUUCAAUGAUCAAUCCAAACAACCAAAGUGGAUCCAUCUCUUCAACUAGAUCUUUCUCAUAUUGAAUUUCUCUUUUAUUUUAAUUACUUGCUGAUUUAAUUGCUUUCAGUAGUUUGCUAAUCAAAUCAAUCUCAAAACCCCCCUUUUUACUUUUAUUGCACUUUACUUUUGUUCCGCUUUC
RNAcentral lists this long non-coding RNA (559 nucleotides) under Manihot esculenta (cassava). Its description in RNAcentral is "long non-coding RNA (MESC_LNC011119)". Lineage: Eukaryota; Viridiplantae; Streptophyta; Magnoliopsida; Malpighiales; Euphorbiaceae. The record is from RNAcentral.